Molecule: ribosomal RNA, 514 nt
Filed under: uncultured bacterium
Lineage: Bacteria
Description: partial 16S ribosomal RNA
Rfam family: Bacterial small subunit ribosomal RNA
Source: RNAcentral
GAUGAACGCUGGCGGCGUGCCUAAUACAUGCAAGUCGAGCGAACAGAUGAGAUGCUUGCUUAACUGAUGUUAGCGGCGGACGGGUGAGUAACACGUGGGUAACCCACCUAGCAGCCUGGGAUAACUCCGGGAAACCGGGGCUAAUACCGGAUAAUACUUUGAACCGCAUGGUUCAAUAGCGAAAGACGGUUUCGGCUGUCACUUCUAGAUGGACCCGCGCCGAUUUAGCUAGUUGGUAGGGUAACGGCUUACCAAGGCGACGAUACGUAGCCGACCUGAGAGGGUGAUCGGCCACACUGGAACUGAGACACGGUCCAGACUCCUACGGGAGGCAGCAGUAGGGAAUCUUCCGCAAUGGGCGAAAGCCUGACGGAGCAACGCCGCGUGAGUGAUGAAGGUCUUCGGAUCGUAAAACUCUGUUGUUAGGGAAGAACAAAUUUGUUAGUAAAUGAACAAGGCUUGACGGUACCUAACCAGAAAGCCACGGCUAACUACGUGCCAGCCGCCGCAGUAA